Molecule: ribosomal RNA, 497 nt
Filed under: uncultured bacterium
Lineage: Bacteria
Description: partial 16S ribosomal RNA
Rfam family: Bacterial small subunit ribosomal RNA
Source: RNAcentral
GAUGAACGCUGGCGGCGUGCCUAAUACAUGCCAGUCGAGCGAACGGACGAGAAGCUUGCUUCUCUGAUGUUAGCGGCGGACGGGUGAGUAACACGUGGAUAACCUACCUAUAAGACUGGGAUAACUUCGGGAAACCGGGGCUAAUACCGGAUAAUAUUUUGAACCGCAUGGUUCAAAAGUGAAAGACGGUCUUGCUGUCACUUAUAGAUGGAUCCGCGCUGCAUUAGCUAGUUGGUAAGGUAACGGCUUACCAAGGCAACGAUGCAUAGCCGACCUGAGAGGGUGAUCGGCCACACUGGAACUGAGACACGGUCCAGACUCCUACGGGAGGCAGCAGUAGGGAAUCUUCCGCAAUGGGAGAAAGCCUGACGGAGCAACGCCGCGUGAGUGAUGAAGGUCUUCGGAUCGUAAAACUCUGUUAUUAGGGAAGAACAUAUGUGUAAGUAACUGUGCACAUCUUGACGGUACCUAAUCAGAAAGCCACGGCUAACUACGUG